GCCCUCGUAGCUCAGCGGACAGAGCACCAGGUUCCGGACCUGGGGGCCGCUGGUUCGAUCCCAGCCGGGGGCA
This 73-nucleotide transfer RNA is filed under the name Spirilliplanes yamanashiensis. It matches the Rfam family "tRNA". From Rfam's summary of the family: Transfer RNA (tRNA) molecules are approximately 80 nucleotides in length. Their secondary structure includes four short double-helical elements and three loops (D, anti-codon, and T loops). The record is from Rfam by way of RNAcentral. Lineage: Bacteria; Bacillati; Actinomycetota; Actinomycetes; Micromonosporales; Micromonosporaceae.